Long non-coding RNA from Alligator mississippiensis (American alligator), 2146 nucleotides. RefSeq lists it as uncharacterized. The record is from RefSeq and is a predicted model, not a curated record. NCBI's taxonomy places the organism in Eukaryota, Metazoa, Chordata, Crocodylia, Alligatoridae. The transcript is spliced from 3 exons.
UGCAUUAGAAACUUCUGGGUGCACUGUUGCUUUAUUAUUUAUAGCAGGCUCAAUAAGAAAACCUGUACAACCCUUGCAAAUCACUGCAAGCAAACUAAAUGGGAUUAGUUGAGAAAGGGACACCAAGAUGCACGAAAACAACAGCUUUUCUAUGUAGCAGUCACCACCCUUAUGACUCCACUAUUAAUUGCUGCAUGAUCACUACCCUGUAAAGCAGUCAGUAAAGCUUGGGAAAGCAAACUCCUCCUCCUCCUCGCUCCCCGUGUGCCUCUGCUUAUCAAGUUCCAUCGGGGCAGCCACAGCCACAGAGCAUCCUGUAAUGUGUCUGCGGGUGCCGCGAAGAAGCUGAAGGGAAGAGCCCCAUCUUCAGCAAACACAAUACUGCUGUUCCUGAAAGCUUUUAUUGAAGGAAGUCUCGGUGCAGAGGCUGUGGGUCUGUCUCUGAGCUAGAGUUUUGUGCAUUGCACAAAGUGCCAUCGAAGUUGUAAAGAUCACAGGAAACAAGAUUCUGCCUUUGCAUUUAAAUCAUGAGCGGCUGUUCAAAGAGAUGCAAGCAUGGGAUUGUUAAAUUUGCCCAGACCAUCUUUAAGCUCAUCACAGGCACCCUCAACAAAGCUACUACUAGCAGUAGUGCAAUAGUGGGAAAUAUCAAGUGAAAUACUGAGAACAGAAGGAGGACUGAACUUAAUGUUUUGGCAUGUUCUGUAUGCCUCAUUGCUAGAUAUAAAAAGAAGAUCAAGUAGAAGUAGGUGUCUCCACUUGAAAAAAGGGAUUGAGAACUUGGACGUGUCAGAAAACAUCUUAAAAGAAUGAUUUCAGGUCUGCGAGAUGUGUCUUUUAAAUGCAACUCUAUACUUUUAUUUUAAAGAAAUGUAAGCAAUGACUUGAUCCUGGUCUAAAAAUGUCUAUGUGUGAAAAGAUUUCUAAUAGAAGAUAAGACUAUACAAGAAAAGGGUAUAACAAGAUCCAGUGAAUGAAAGCUGAAGUUAUGCAAACUUGGCCUAAAAAAGUACAAUUUUUUAUUUAAGGGUAAUUUUAAUCCUUUGAAGAGACUUGUCUAGAGAAGUAUCACUUGAUGUUUUUAAAUCAAUCCUAGCCCUCUGCCUAAGAGAAAUAUUAUAGCUAAACUAAGGGUCAAUGGCUAGGUGCAGAAUAAACUGGGUGAAUGUCUUAGCCUGAGUGCUCUGCUACACAUUCAAAGUAAAGCUGGGUAGAAACCACCUAUAAAGUUGUUACACAUUUUCAGGCACUAACUUUUUAACUGGUUGGCUCUUUUUAUAGCUGGAUGGACAUUUUUAUGGCUUGAUGAUUACUUUGCACAUGUGGCUAGUCUAAAUGUAUUAUGAGAUUAACUGGUUAAUUGCAUAAUAUAACAUGUGGCAGGACCCUGAGUUAUGCAGUAAAUAAGAGUCCUGGUCCCUGGAGUCUAUGAAGUUUCCAUUUUUGCUGUUCUUGCUCCUCCUCCCAGUUUUGUGCACAAAUGCACACACGUAGUUGUAGCUGAAGCAUCAUGCAUCAUGUCUGAAUAGGAAAAUCAAGAUUCAUGAAGCACAUCUGGGAAGAUUUGUUUGCUCUUUUUGACCAUAUAACAGCUAGAAGUUUUAGUCAUAUUUGAAGAGUUGAACCAUGUUCAUGGCCCAGUGGUGUUCUAAACAUUUCCUGUUCUUUCUUGUUAACCUUCUUUCUUGUGCUCUCUCUCUCUCUCUCUCCCCCUCUUUCUCAUGAAUUUUUCAACCCCAACCUUCCUCUCUCAUGAAUUUUCCAACCUCUGCAGUAUCUAAGCACAAGUAGCCGUUGGAAACUCAUUGCUGGAGCAAAAACCGAAAAGCAAGCAAGACAGUAUAGCUGAGCUGGAACAAAUAUUUCAGGGCUGCAAUGUUUCUACAAGCUAUGGCCAUAAUCCUGCAGUGGACUGAAUGUGUAGGCUCACUGCUGUGUCUCUGUGGAGACCAGAUGACUUCAUUAGUGCUCCAGGAAGCAGUCAAAUCAGGCCUUUAAUCAGAUCUGCUCUGAACUUUUGGAGUCUUUAUAAUUGGGUUGGAAAUCUCCUGAGAUUUUUGUAACUAUUUAGUUCUGAUCAGUUUACAAAUACUGCACAAGACUCUUCCUGUUUAUUGGAAAUUGAGAGGCAGCAUAAAUAAACAAA